GCAUUAUACGGCGAAACUGCGAAUGGCUCAUUAUAUAAGUUAUCGUUUAUUUGAUAGCACAUUACUACUUGGAUAACCGUGGUAAUUCUAGAGCUAAUACAUGCUAAAAAUCCCGACUUCGGAAGGGAUGUAUUUAUUAGAUUAAAAGCCAAUGCCCUCUGGGCUCUCUGGUGAAUCAUGAUAACUGCUCGAAUCGCAGGGCCUCGUGCCGGCGAUGGUUCAUUCAAAUUUCUUCCCUAUCAACUUUCGAUGUUUGGGUAUUGGCCAAACAUGGUUACAACGGGUAACGGAGGGUUAGGGCUCGACCCCGGAGAAGGAGCCUGAGAAACGGCUACUACAUCCAAGGAAGGCAGCAGGCGCGCAAAUUACCCAAUCCCGACACGGGGAGGUAGUGACAAUAAAUACUGAUACAGGGCUCUUUCGGGUCUUGUAAUUGGAAUGAGUACAAUUUAAAUCCCUUAACGAGGAACAAUUGGAGGGCAAGUCUGGUGCCAGCAGCCGCGGUAAUUCCAGCUCCAAUAGCGUAUAUUAAAGUUGUUGUGGUUAAAAAGCUCGUAGUUGACCCUUGGGCCUGGCUGGCCGGUCCGCCUCACCGCGUGUACUGGUCCGGCCGGGCCUUUCCCUCUGUGGAACCCCAUGCCCUUCACUGGGCGUGGCGGGGAAACAGGACUUUUACUUUGAAAAAAUUAGAGUGCUCCAGGCAGGCCUAUGCUCGAAUACAUUAGCAUGGAAUAAUAGAAUAGGACGUGCGGUUCUAUUUUGUUGGUUUCUAGGACCGCCGUAAUGAUUAAUAGGGACAGUCGGGGGCAUCAGUAUUCAAUUGUCAGAGGUGAAAUUCUUGGAUCUAUUGAAGACUAACUACUGCGAAAGCAUUUGCCAAGGAUGUUUUCAUUAAUCAAGAACGAAAGUUAGGGGAUCGAAGACGAUCAGAUACCGUCGUAGUCCUGACCGUAAACUAUGCCGACUAGGGAUCGGACGAUGUUAUUUUUUGACUCGUUCGGCACCUUACGAGAAAUCAAAGUG
This 1023-nucleotide ribosomal RNA is filed under the name Pleurocordyceps parvicapitata. RNAcentral's name for it is "SSU rRNA". It matches the Rfam family "Eukaryotic small subunit ribosomal RNA", at positions 71 to 1105 of the family's 1831-position model. The record is from RNAcentral. Lineage: Eukaryota; Fungi; Ascomycota; Sordariomycetes; Hypocreales; Polycephalomycetaceae.